This 253-nucleotide ribosomal RNA is filed under the name uncultured bacterium. RNAcentral's name for it is "partial 16S ribosomal RNA". It matches the Rfam family "Bacterial small subunit ribosomal RNA", at positions 524 to 776 of the family's 1533-position model. The record is from RNAcentral.
UACGUAGGGUGCAAGCGUUACUCGGAAUUACUGGGCGUAAAGCGUGCGCAGGCGGUUAUGUAAGACAGAUGUGAAAUGCCCGGGCUUAACCUGGGAACUGCAUUUGUGACUGCAUGGCUAGAGUGUGUCAGAGGGGGGUAGAAUUCCACGUGUAGCAGUGAAAUGCGUAGAUAUGUGGAGGAACACCGAUGGCGAAGGCAGCCCCCUGGGAUAACACUGACGCUCAUGCACGAAAGCGUGGGGAGCAAGCAGG